RNAcentral lists this transfer RNA (86 nucleotides) under Mycoplasmopsis cynos. RNAcentral's name for it is "tRNA-Leu". It matches the Rfam family "tRNA". Rfam says of the family: Transfer RNA (tRNA) molecules are approximately 80 nucleotides in length. The record is from RNAcentral. Lineage: Bacteria; Bacillati; Mycoplasmatota; Mycoplasmoidales; Metamycoplasmataceae.
UUCUUUAGUGGUGGAAUGGUAGACGCUGCGGACUCAAAAUCCGUUGGAGCAAUCCGUGCAGGUUCAAGUCCUGUCUAAGGCGACCA